Molecule: ribosomal RNA, 273 nt
Filed under: uncultured bacterium
Lineage: Bacteria
Description: partial 16S ribosomal RNA
Rfam family: Bacterial small subunit ribosomal RNA
Source: RNAcentral
GACGAACCCGUGCGAACGUUAUUCGGAAUCACUGGGCUUAAAGAGCGCGUAGGCGGCUUCGUAAGUCGAGGGUGAAAUCCCACCGGCUCAACCGUGGAAUUGCCCUCGAAACUGCGUGGCUUGAGGGAGGUAGGGGCACGUGGAACUUCCGGUGGAGCGGUGAAAUGCGUUGAGAUCGGAAGGAACGCCGGUGGCGAAAGCGGCGUGCUGGAUCUCCCCUGACGCUGAGGCGCGAAAGCCAGGGUAGCGAACGGGAUUAGAUACCCUUGUAGU